AACGAACGCUGGCGGCAUGCCUAACACAUGCAAGUCGAACGAGACCUUCGGGUCUAGUGGCGCACGGGUGAGUAACGCGUGGGAACCUGCCCUUAGGUUCGGAAUAACUCCCCGAAAGGGGUGCUAAUACCGGAUAAUGUCUUCGGACCAAAGAUUUAUCGCCUUUGGAUGGGCCCGCGUUGGAUUAGCUAGUUGGUAGGGUAAAAGCCUACCAAGGCGACGAUCCAUAGCUGGUCUGAGAGGAUGAUCAGCCACACUGGGACUGAGACACGGCCCAGACUCCUACGGGAGGCAGCAGUGGGGAAUAUUGCACAAUGGGCGAAAGCCUGAUGCAGCAAUGCCGCGUGAAUGAUGAAGGCCUUAGGGUUGUAAAGCUCUUUUACCCGGGAUGAUAAUGACAGUACCGGGAGAAGAAGCCCCGGCUAACUCCGUG
This 433-nucleotide ribosomal RNA is filed under the name uncultured bacterium. RNAcentral describes it as "partial 16S ribosomal RNA". It matches the Rfam family "Bacterial small subunit ribosomal RNA", at positions 29 to 507 of the family's 1533-position model. The record is from RNAcentral.